Molecule: ribosomal RNA, 253 nt
Filed under: uncultured bacterium
Lineage: Bacteria
Description: partial 16S ribosomal RNA
Rfam family: Bacterial small subunit ribosomal RNA
Source: RNAcentral
UACGGGGGGGGCAAGCGUUGUUCGGAAUUACUGGGCGUAAAGGGUUUGUAGGUGGCCAACUAAGUCAGACGUGAAAUCCCUCAGCUUAACUGGGGAACUGCGUCUGAGACUGGAUGGCUUGAGUGCAGGAGAGGAACGCGGAAUUCCCGGUGUAGUGGUGAAAUGCGUAGAUAUCGGGAGGAACACCAGUGGCGAAGGCGACUUCCUGGCCUGUUCUUGACGCUGAGGCGCGAAAGCUAGGGGAGCAAACGGG